RNAcentral lists this ribosomal RNA (812 nucleotides) under Bacillus sp. NRRL B-23936. Its description in RNAcentral is "bacterial SSU rRNA". It matches the Rfam family "Bacterial small subunit ribosomal RNA", at positions 659 to 1470 of the family's 1533-position model. The record is from RNAcentral. Lineage: Bacteria; Bacillati; Bacillota; Bacilli; Caryophanales; Bacillaceae.
GAUAGGAAUUCCCCGUGUAGCGGUGAAAUGCGUAGAGAUGUGGAGGAACACCAGUGGCGAAGGCGACUCUCUGGUCUGUAACUGACGCUGAGGAGCGAAAGCGUGGGGAGCGAACAGGAUUAGAUACCCUGGUAGUCCACGCCGUAAACGAUGAGUGCUAAGUGUUAGGGGGUUUCCGCCCCUUAGUGCUGCAGCUAACGCAUUAAGCACUCCGCCUGGGGAGUACGGUCGCAAGACUGAAACUCAAAGGAAUUGACGGGGGCCCGCACAAGCGGUGGAGCAUGUGGUUUAAUUCGAAGCAACGCGAAGAACCUUACCAGGUCUUGACAUCCUCUGACAAUCCUAGAGAUAGGACGUCCCCUUCGGGGGCAGAGUGACAGGUGGUGCAUGGUUGUCGUCAGCUCGUGUCGUGAGAUGUUGGGUUAAGUCCCGCAACGAGCGCAACCCUUGAUCUUAGUUGCCAGCAUUCAGUUGGGCACUCUAAGGUGACUGCCGGUGACAAACCGGAGGAAGGUGGGGAUGACGUCAAAUCAUCAUGCCCCUUAUGACCUGGGCUACACACGUGCUACAAUGGACAGAACAAAGGGCAGCGAAACCGCGAGGUUAAGCCAAUCCCACAAAUCUGUUCUCAGUUCGGAUCGCAGUCUGCAACUCGACUGCGUGAAGCUGGAAUCGCUAGUAAUCGCGGAUUCCAGCAGCCGCGGUAAUACGUUCCCGGGCCUUGUACACACCGCCCGUCACACCACGAGAGUUUGUAACACCCGAAGUCGGUGAGGUAACCUUUAAGGAGCCAGCCGCCGAAGGGGACAAUA